Long non-coding RNA from Alligator mississippiensis (American alligator), 12343 nucleotides. RefSeq lists it as uncharacterized. Lineage: Eukaryota; Metazoa; Chordata; Crocodylia; Alligatoridae. The transcript is spliced from 4 exons. The record is from RefSeq and is a predicted model, not a curated record.
AGGGGCAAAAGGGCGGGGUCGCCCGGCUCGCCCUCGCGGGGGGGCGGGGCCGUGCCGAGAGCCGCCACAAACAUAAAUAGAACGCGGCUGGCGAGGGGCGGGGCCGAGGCUGAAGUGUCGGGGCCUUUGCUGAUGUCACGCGCAAGCCCGGACGCGCCCUGCGAGUGGUGGGAAAAGGGGGCGGGGCGAGGCCGGCGGCGCCCCCUGUGACACCAUCGCGGGAAGAGCCUGGAAUGCGGGGCGGGGCGCAACCCGGUCACCUCUGCAUUGGGGCAGUGCGGCAGCGCAGAGAAAUACGGGAGCGGGGCGGGGACUCUGGGCAGGGGCUGCUUCCGCCUGGGCAGGGCUAUACCCGGACCCUGCAGCAGUAGCGGCCGCCGCCGCCACCGCCCUUCCCGCAGGCGGCCAAGUGCCGGUUUGCCGGGCCGGCAGGCUCUGGCGGCGGCUAGGGGGCAGCCCCGGCCCGCGGCCCCGCUCUGACCCCUGCCCGGCGGUGUGACGCGGGGCCGCUCAGUGAGUCUUGCGCGGCUACUAGGAGGAGUGCGGGGGUUUGCCUGCUGCUUCCCAGCGGAGCAAUUGACCGCGGCCACCUCCUCCCCCCUGGGGGCCGGGGCCUGGCGCUGCUGGGGGGCGGGGCCGGGCAAGGCCCCCGCGGGCUGGUGUCGAGCUCUGCAGGCCGGACCUGGCCCGCCGGCCGCAGGUUGAGCAUCUGCCUGGGGAUGGAGGAGCAAGAAUUUCUCCCUUUUUAAAAGGGUUUAGGUUGUAGCUGUGUUGGUCUAAGGAUAUAUAUAGGCAGACAAGGUUCCUUGGGUGAAUUUGAUAUCUUUUAUUAGACCAACCCAAAUGGUUGGAGAAUAGUUUAUUAAGCAAGCUUUUGGGUUCAAAAACCAACUGCUGCAGCUUCCUUAGCCUGACGAAGGGUUUUUGAACCCUGAAAGCUUGCUUAAUAACUAUUCUCCAACCAUUUGGGUUGGUCUAAUAAAAGAUAUCAAAUUCACCCAAGGAACCUUGUCUCCCUUUUUUAAGCCCUUUCUGCUCUGGGAGUAGGAUUGCUUUGUCUUGCUUGCAGGUUUGAAACCCGUAGGUGGCCCUGCCUGAGAACACUGUGUUGGGGCCUCUUGUGCCCUGAGCAACAUGCACCUGACUGGUCGCGCUGCCUUGCCUUGCUGUGCCCCCUCCUCUCCACAGCGCUUCCCCCAAAGGAGCGCGCUUCUCCCACGGCCCCGGGAGAACAGGAUUGCCAUGACACAAAGCAGCAGCUCUGCCAGCAGGAUGUAGAGAAUUGAUUUUCAGACAGAUAACAGAAAAGACGUUUGCGUCUUCCCUACAGUACUCGGGACCUGAGCCCAAGGCAUUGUUUCUCCAAAAGUGAUCUACGUUAAAGGUCCCUUGCUCACUCCCUAGGCAGUCUGCCACUUGAAGUCAGUGGAAAUUUGGCAGAUGGAGAAGCACCUGACAUUGAGAUUUGGUUUAUGGCUUGAACAGCUUAUUCAAAACUCCAGCACAAAUACUAAACCUGCUAGGCAAAGUGGAAUGCACUGGGCUGCUGCAUCUUCCCUGCAACAUGAAGGGAGUGAACAUCUGGAUUUUGUAUCUGCUUGGAAUGUGUUGAGCAUGUGAUCCUGAAGAGCAGCAGCCCAAUCUGACAAGAGGCCGGUCAGGUUUCACUCUGCUGCACCUUGACAGCUCUGAGCAAUAGCACAAACGUUAAAGCUCCCAGUGUGCAAACUUGGACAGACAGCACUGCACUAGCUUGCACCCUGUUCCCAGCUGGAAGGUUAUCUGUGCAAACAAGUACUUAAUUUUGAAAACAGAAGUCUGCAGCAGUUAUGGACACGUUCCUUCCAACUGGCUACAGGUGAGCAGGUUUUUCAAGCCUUGUUUGGCCUUUUGAUUUUAAAAAGGUAAAUGAAAAUACCAAAGAAGAGGCAUCAGAAGUGAAAAGAGAGGAAGAAGGUAAGAGUGAGGCUGGCAAGGGUGGAAGAUUAACUCUGUGUGUAAAUCCAAUCCUUUCUGAGCUCCACCCUGCCAGUGGCAUCCAUCACCAGGGAAACAGGAUCUACCCUGAACUAAUUUGUGUAUCUGGAAAAUCUUAUUCCUAAAACUGUUCUCAGACCCAAGGAAAUCCCAGCUUUCCUCUCCAACAUUUGAUGGUGUAGUGAUGAUAGCCAUCUGGUACCCGUGUGUGGCAGCUACCUCAGCAACUGAAAGGGAAGAGAGAGAUCCUCCUGUCUGGUGGCUUGUAUUGCCUGUGAUGUAUGCUAUAGAAAUGAAAAACUAGUAUUUACUAAGGCAGAGUGAUUUCUGAAAGAAAUGGCGUUUCCAAUACUGGCAUCUUAUAUGUGAAGUUGCAACCUAUGGUUACUCAUUACCAAGAUUUUCAAGAAAUGUAAAGGGAGGGAAAUGAUUUUAAAAGUACCUUGGGAUCAGUGUAAAUUGCAUUAUUGCCAUCAGAUGUGGUUUUAUUUCAUACUAUUUACUAAACAGGAAUUAUAACCAUGGCAACAUUUAUAUCAUGACACGCACUAUAUAUAUGGAUCUGCCAACAGCAAGAGUGAAGUGCAUGUGUGGAGACAGAAUUUUUUGCAAGUAGAGUGUGAAUGUGGAACUCACUUCCAGCAGAGAUCAGGAUGACCACACACGUUAUCACCUGCAAAACAAGCAAAAUGCAUAAUUUACCACUUCAGUCUAGUCUUACCCCAAGAAAAAAAAACAUGUAGCAUUACUGAGAUAGUUCCCACCUCACUGUAGUGACAUACAUACUUACUAAGUGAGGUCCAUUGGGAUGAAUAUCAUGUGGCUCCUUGAAUUUGUAGGAGUCAUAAAAUACAAAUAACCUUUACACAGGGCUAUAUAGCAAUCAAACUGAAAAUUGAUCUUAUUCACAGAAAUUAUAGAAAUACAUUGUUUAAACACUUGGUAUGAAGUUUAUUUCAUUUUCUGAUAAAAAAGGAGGGGGUAAGAGGAACAUAGGACUACAAGAGACCUCCUGGAUCAUUGAGCCGGACCUUGCCACAAUCACAUUGGUACAUUCACCAAACACAUUCAAAUCAGUUAGUUGUUUUUUUGCCCUCACUUGUUGAAAAUCUGUUCCAGAAUCUCCUAGUAGAAGAAGUUUGCUUUAAGAAUUAGGAGAAAGUUCUGGGAAAUACAAUACCAUUUUUGUAUAUCCAUAAAUCUAACUUUUUUAAACUAAAGGAACGAAGUCAACUAAGACAUAUUUCUGUCAAAAAUAUUACAGGCUGUUUGACUAUAAAACUGAAAUAUUUCUCAAUUAGAUUAUAUUGCGAAUUUUACAACACUUUGUCUACUGCCAAUUGUACUGUUUUCCAUGAAGUCGGUUUCACCAUUUGUUUGCAUAUGUUACACAGCAAACAGAGAGAAAAACAGAUCUAUAUAAAUAAGCUAAGAAAAAUUAUUUGGGAGACCUGUAGGAAAGUGUGAAACUAGCUUUCAAGCUGACUCUGCCCCUUUAACAAAUACAGUGACUGCUUUUUAUUGCUGCCAGACAACAUUUCAGGAUACCUCAUCACCCUAUCUGAUGGAAUAUCUCAUGUGGAAUAACUUCUUUGAGUCAAUGCUAUAAAUGACAAUUAUGCAGCAGAGAAGGUUGCAUCAUGCAUCUCCCUUGCUGCCUUAGUAGUAAGUAGUGAUGCUUUUAGGAGGGGCACACUAAAGAGUCUUAAUGAUGGUACUGGUCCAUGCAAAUAUCACUAAUAAUGUGGAAAAGUGUUAAAUUUUCUGCUCUGUACUCAAGGAAAGAGCCAGAUUUCAUCAUAUCACAGGAAGAAGAAACACUUUCCAUUCCAGCAGUAACUCAAGAGGACGUUAAACAGCUGCUAAAGCUAGACAUUUUCAAAUCAGUACGUUCAAAUAACUUCCACCCAAGAAUCUUAAAAGCACUGUGUGAAGAGCUUUCAAGGCUGUUAAUGUUAAUUCAGUAAGUUGUGGAACACAGCAAAGAAGUUCUAGGGAACAGAAAGAAAACUUGUGUGUCAAUAUUUUACAAAGGUAAACAGGACCACCCAGAUAAUUAGAGGCUGUCAGUCUGAUAUCCAUUCUAGACAAAAUAACAGAACAGUUGAUACAGGACUUAAUUGAUUUUUUUAAAAAGUAAUGAGAAAACAGAUCCAUCAAACUACCUUGGUUAUCGAAUUACAUGUUUGAUAAAAUAAUAGUGCUGAUGCAAUACUUAGAUUAGCAUUAUGUAAUUGACUUGGUACCAGAGGACACUUUGAUUGUGUCUCAUUUACAUUUCUUAAUCAAUAUGGUGCACAUCAAACAGAUUAAAAACUUUCAAAAUGUAAUUGUAAAUAGAGAAUUGUCAUAAAGUAGGUGUGUUCCUAGUAAAGUCCUAAGAAGGUACUUCAGGGUUUUGUUCAAUUUAAAAGCAUAACCAAUAGAGUCUGUUGAUGACCUAAGGCUUGGGGAAGUGGUAAACCAUAAAGGAAACAGGUUACUGAUACAAAACCUUCUAGAUAGUUUAAGCCAAAGGCUAACAAGCAUGGUGUCCCAUGGCCAGCCAUGAAGUCAUACUUCUAGGACGAGGAAGGCAGGCUAUAUUUUAAGAAUAGGGAGCUAUAUACUGAAAAGUAGUGAUUCUGAAUAUGACUUGAGGGUUUUGUUAGAUAAGCAGAGCUUGCAUGUAAGGCUGAGAACCCCUUUCUGUUUACAAUCCCCCUGCCUAUGUGGCGUGCCCAUGGGGCUUCAUGGUAAGGUUAGUGUUCCGAAUGUGGGGAUAGCAGGGUCGGGGGGUUCCCAACACCUAUUCUCCUGGCAAAGUGAGUGAAGCAGCUUUUCUUAAGGCUGACAUUCUACCAAGAUUUCUCCACACACACCAGGGGACCAAAACAUGGUUGUUAUUGUGCCCGAAACAUUGCAAUUGUUUGAUCAUUACCACAAGUAGAUUAUAGUGCCCUCAUUCCCUUUCAGAAAAGAAUGUUGAAAAUGGAAUUUAAAAAAAGUUUGGCUUUCAAUAGGAGUAUGGGCUAAACAGAUUAUGUUGUCCAUGCUUAGACAAAGUAGCAUAAAGGGCUUGUAGCCUGCCAGAUUUCACAUGAGCUGGGUAACUCAAGGUGAUUUAAAGUAGCUAUUGAAGAUGACCUAUGCCCAUCCAAUGUCAGUUUAAAUCCACCUCUUGGUAGAAAUCUGGAGGGAGGAAAAAAAUUGACUAUAAUCUUUCUGUCAAAAAUGUUGUUUAUUUUGAGGAACUAUAAUCUGAGAACAAGAGGAAAUUCAGAAGGCAUUCAAAUAGUGCUUUGCAAAAAAAAUAAAUUAUGCUUCUUGGGAGGGGGAUAAAAGGAGAGGAGUGAGAGGUAUGGAGAAGAGUGGAGUAUGUGGCAGUGGUGAGGGGAAUGGGGUCACUGGAAACAAAAAGGGUUUGAAGGCUCAGGCCAGGGUGGGGAUUAAGGGAGGAGUGGAACAUUAGAAGAGGUGAUAUGGGAUGGCUUGCAGGGGAUAUGGGGUCAGCCCCACAAUUUCCUCUACCAUGCACUAGAAUCUGGGAAGCUGUGUCCCUUUUGGGUUGUCUGAACUCCUCUCUACUCCCAGAUGAGCUGGAAGGAUGCUCAGAGCCAUUCUGGUUGAGUCUAAGUCCCCCUCUUCAUCCCCUGCACAUGUGCUGGCAUCUAGUGGGUCCUGUCUCUCUAGAGCCAUCUGAACCUCUCUCUGUCUCCAACAGGGGCUAGUAUUUAGGGAAGUCUAACCUACCUGUGUACAGAACUAAGAACUGGAAGGCUGAGGGCAUGCACAAGGUGCACUAUACUGAGACUGUCUGAAGAGCUUAAUCAGCCUCAAAGCACAGGAAUGAGGAGGAGAACAUGAGAACCGAGCACUGAGAUGAAAGGAGCAUUCAUAUCUCAUCUCUGUAUCAGGCCUCAGGUUGGAUGUAGGUUAAUUGGUCCCAAACAAAGGAGGAAACAUUGUGUCAGAUCAGCAGUUCACCUAAUUUGCCUAAUAUCCGAUGAAGGUAUAGUCUUCCCAAACUUUUCCAGGUGAAAGAAAUUUAUGCGUCUUAGGCCUUGGCCAUCUGAGGUGAUCAGUGCUUUCAAGUGGAUAAGUCAGUUGAAGCACAGAACAAUCUGUACCUCAUAGAACUGGUACUCUUGUUUAUCAAGGGUUUUGCAUUCUCCAUAUCAAUACACCAAAACAACCAAUAGAAAUAUCUUGCUAUAUCCCAAUUUUCUCUAUGCAACAAAGUAAGAAAGAUUUUUUGCUUACCUGAAAGUCUCUUUUCUCCAAGUAACUAAGACUAAAGAUCGUCUAAAAUUGGCACUUUGGCCUGCUUGCAGCAUGACAGCAAACUACACUGGCACCAGGAUAGUGCCCCCACUCACUAAUUAUUUUGGAGACUCACAAACUGGACCUGCAUGUAAUUUUUAUCAAAGGAAUCACUGUGCAGUGGUGGGAACUCAAAAGCAGUAUGCAGCUAUGUAUGAAAUUUAAAGUAAGUAGGAAAGCAUGUCUGAAUGAGAUCAGCAUUCCUAAUAGGCUCCAAUAAGAAUUGAAUUUUUGUCUGUGAUACUAUUUAUUUUCCUUUAGGGUCAUCUGUAUCUCCUGUUAACAUUCUUCUAAGAUGAGACCUUGUCUCUGAUUGUAUUCAUCCACAGACCAGACUUGUGAAUGACUUUCCGGUUGCUGUCAGUCAGUCAUGAUGAUUCAAAGAUAGUCUAGAAAUUGCAUCACUGUGCUUUGACUUCUUGUCUAGAAAAAUCCUUAAUCAAAAAGAAAAUGUUCAGAAAGAGAUAAAUGAAUUUUCCUUCUUCUUUACAGCCAGUAUUAAUAAUACCAUGAUCAUGGAAAAGACUCUAGAAGCUCUUAUCAGAUCAUAUGGGAAUGAUUGAAUUUGUUAAAAAAAACCAAAGCCUUGUUAUCCAUAUGCAAACUGGAGGAACUGUCUGGGGCUUGGUGAGAUGGAAACUAGACUAAGUCUACUUAACCUCUCCUAGUAAGAUUUAUAGAUGUUAGGGUCGGAAGGGACCUCAACAGAUCAUCAAGUCCGACCCCCUGCCUAAGCAGGAAAGAGUGCUGGGGUCAGAUGACACCAGCCAGAUGCCUAUCCAGCCUUCUCUUAGAGACCCCCAAGGUAGAGGAGAGCACCACCUCCCUCAGAAGCCCAUUACAAAUUUUGGUCACCCUUACCGUGAAGAAGUUUUUCCUGAUAUCUAGCCUAAAUCUGCUCUCUGUCAAUUUGUGAACGUUGCUCCUUGUUACCCCAAGAGGCACCCUGGUGAACAGAGCAUCUCCGAUCCCUUGCUACAUCCCCCCUAAUGAAUUUGUAGGCUGCCACAAGAUCACUUCUCAGCCUUCUCUUGCGGAGGCUGAAGAGAUCCAGGUCCCUUAGUCUCUCCUUAUACGGCUUUUCCUAUAAGCCCCUAACCAUACGAGUGACCCUUCUCUGAAUGUUUCAGAUGGAACCCCUCUCUUUGCUCCCAAUUCUGUCAUCAGAAACUGGGUGGAGAAGGGGUUGUCUUGCUGUCAUCCAGAGUAGCUCCUGAGCAAUUCUUUUAAUGUCAUAUAUCCUUGGGUUGCCCAAGAUUAAGAAUGGGAUAGAGUUGUUUUUUUAAUUUUUGCACAAGAAAUUUCAGCCUGUGGCAGACACCUGGUAUGGAAGAGUUCAGCCCAAAUGAUCAAGUUUGGCAGUUAGGAAGCAUUAGGCAACCUAAAUAGGUGGUGCUACCAAAUCUAUCCAUGAUAUAUUUGAUCCUCUAGCUCUGAUUCAGACAUAUAACACUCCUCCCUUAAGCUAGUUCUACUUCUUUUCUGUGAAUGUAUGUACAAGAGUACUUGUGCUUGUACACCCAGAGGAACUGAUACAGGUCUGUAGCCAGGUCUUUUUUGCCACUCUGCACUUCAUAACCAAGGAUCCCGGUGCUCAGAAUAAUAUAUCAUGCUUCAUUCAACAGGUGAAGUGAGAAUCAAUCUCUAGUCCCAUUCAUUUAUUUCUCCUUUCAGAAUUCAGCCCUCUGCUCCAGAUACAAAUAAUAGUGGGGCUCAACAUUUCUGCAAAACCAUUUCAAAAGGCUAGUGCUUCCUCUGUCCUCAAAAAGGUCCUAUUGUUUUACUUUUUCCUAUGAGAGCUCCUUAUGGGUCUCUCAAGGAAGGUUCAGGCCUGGGUUCAAGAUGGACCUGCCAGAGAUUCUGUGGGUGCAUCCCCCUGAGCAUAUGUGCCGCUGCUAGUUGUCCCUGGGCAAUGCCCCUACAUGCAUGCUCUGGCGCAUGGCAAUUUGCCCCAGGUGGGAUAGAGGAGGCUAGGGUCAGCACCUGGGCUGACCCUAACAGCCUUACCUGGAGUCCUGGGGGCCUCUUGGGGCUCCAGCAGUGGCAAUCCAGGUGAGCAGAGUCAGCUGGAGUAUGGCUCUGGCUGGCCAGGCCCUGGUUUCAGGCGGUGAACACUGCGCCGCCCUGCUUUUUUGUGGCACGGGUUUUUUUGACCCCAGGAUCUCCUGAGGUAAAAAAACCCAGCAUGCUGCAAAAGUAGCACAGUGAACACUUGCAUGUGUGGCACAUGCAGUCUGCAGCACUACAAAUGGGUUGGUCUGCAGUGUCACAGACCACAUGUGCGUGCUCAUGUGGAUGCGCCACUCUACUCUCAACUACCUGGUCUGUAUCUAGAUAGGUCUGCUGAAGCCUCAGCCUAGGACAUGAGUAGGAAAGGACUCAUCCUAGGAGCACUGUUAGGGAAGAGGUAACCAGAAGAGGAAACUGGGCUCACCAUCAGCAUUUGCUUUGUCCAUGCUGUAUCUCGUGCCCUCCCUCCAUGACCUGCAACUAUGCAAAGCAGAAGGCAGAUGAACUUUACAGUCUUGGGUGUGGCUGCUGACAUAGGCUCUAGAGAUAUAAUGGUGAUCUGACAUGCUGGUAUCUCUCCCUCCAUGGUUAGAAGGGCAUGUUUGCCCCUGAACCACUCCCAUCCCAUGCCAUAAGAGAAACGAGGCAGAUGUGACCCUGCUUAGAAAGAACUACAGAGACACUGCUUCCUUCCUUCUCUUGAAGGGACAAGGAGCAUCUAAGCAGGACAGCAGCCACAAAAAUGAUGGCACAAGAUUGCCAUUGUAUUCCACAGUCUAACACAGAUGGGGUUUCUGUGCCAACUCAGAGGCUAGUGUGGAGGAUGGCAUCUGGAAUGUCAGCAGAAGGGGUAGAAAGAAGAUCCACCAGUAUGGGUUCAGGAUCCUGCAAGUAGUUCAGAUGGUGAUGGCAGCUGCAGUAGAGAAACAUGAGGGGCUGCACUGAAGCUUCAUUUGGUAACCAUAACUGGACAGAUUUUGUCACCCCAAUGUUCUCCUUAUACAUUAUACUUAGCCAAUAUGAAUCAAGUUCCUGAAUAAGUCACAUUUGCAAAUGAAAAGGACUGAAAUUCCCCUUUAACAGUAGCUUGUUUUUCUUACCUCCUUCUCAGUGAAGUAUUUCAGGAUGUGCCUUGUAUGUACUUAAGAAAUGCACAUUUCAUAGAUUGUGUGUUCAUUAUCAUUAUCAUUCUCCAUGUAUACAUUUGCACAACAUGACAGCUUCUUCAUUCAUCUUCAAAAUAUUAGUCGGCUAGUUGUUAACAUAUUUUUAAAAAAGUACGUGUCAUUUCCAGUUAAACAAAACACCUGUUUUCUAAUAUGAUGGGGUAUUACAGCCUUGCCUCAGUCUCUGAAAGCAAAUGGUCACCAGACUGUGUUCAUAAUAACUCUGGACCCCAUAAGCUCUUCAGGUAGGUGGGUCUGGACAGAUGUUGUCUCCAAGAGCCCUGAUAACUCCAUCUCAGUGCACAGAUUCCAUAUCUGGGUCAUUGUCAUUGAGAUAUAAGACUCCAGAGACCAGUGGCUGUAGGCCUAGAAACAAGUCCUGAACCCUGCAAGCUCCUGCAUUCACUUAUUCCUACUUCCUCCAGAGCUCCAAAGAGCUUUGGUUUUGACAGGUGUCCUACUGGGUAGUACACAAAGCCCAUUCUGUCCUUCAACUCCUGCAUCUGUGUCUUCUGGCUUGGCAAUAGGAUAGUUCUCCUAAAAGCACUCCUCUAAAAAUGGGCUUGUUUUUGCGGUUGCUUUUGGAUCUUCCCUGUGGAAGUGCUGCCCCAGUCAUUAUAAGCCAGUUCUGCUGGUCAUUACCCCAUUGUUCUACCAGUCCAGAGUGGUAACUCUAUGAUAGCCUUGUCUCAGUCCCAGAUACAGUCUGUUUCUUCUACUAAAUGGGAGUUUUAAUCAAAUGCUAUUCAUAAGCUGAAAGACAUAUUCCCCAAACUAUCACACUUUGCUUUUAACAUAUGGACUGACUGACAAGUAGAUCAAAUGAUUUUCCAAAUGAUUUUCGCUGUAUUCACUAGGCAGCUUUGCUCAUUUAAGGUUCCCAUAGUGAGGCUAGUGUUUCUGGCUAUGCCGUUAAGACUAGUCGCAGCAGGUGUAGAUUGUUAGAUUUCCAUUUGACUUCAAUGGAUCUGACAGUUUACACUGCUCAGUAUCUAGUCUUGAGAAAACUCCAGUGCAAAGCAGCUGUUAUUAAAGCUAACCUUGCAAAAAGUAUGCUGCUUUUGUGUGUGUUCAAAUCUAAUCUUCUUUAGAGUCUCUUUUAAUAUCUUUAAUCUGUCAAGAGGCUUCUACGCACUAGGUACAUAACCAAUUAAAAUCUUCUAACUAGUGACUAGAGUUAACAGUGUUUGUGCCCCGUAUUUUGCCAAACCUGAAACAAAGAACCUAUAGCCAUUAACAGCAAGUCUUGGCCAAGAGACCUUUGGCCAAGUCACUGAUUUCAUUCUUCCCAGAAACUACUCACCUUUAUAGUUGGUGUGAAUGUUGUAUGUCUUAUUACUACAUGGCACAUACCAACAGCUAAGUUGCAUUACCUGUUUCAUUGAAUGCAUCAUAUUUGUGAUCUACAUGUUCAUUUCUAGGCCCACAGGGACACUAUGGGCUAAGUCCUAUUUCACUUUACAUACCUAAGUGGCAGUUGUGCAGCCAUGGACUCAUAGUGUUUGGCACCUAGACACAGUCUGAGAUUCAACUCUAGGUAUGCCAGCAGUGACACAGCUACUGAGCAUGUUCAUUAAGACCUUGCUAUGGCUGGGCAGGUAUGUGAUACCAUGCCUUUGCCUAAGUAUGCACGCAAGAGGAUUUGAACCUGCCUCUCCCACUUCCCAAAAAGCUUGAACAACCAGGGCAUAGCUGCUGAAUCUUCCUUAGCCUGACGAAGGGUUUUUGAACCCGAAAGCUUGCUUAAUAACUAUUCUCCAACCAUUUGGGUUGGCCUAAUAAAAGAUAUCAAAUUCACCCAAGGAACCUUGUCUGCCUAUGUCCUUAGACCAACACGGCUACAACCCAAACCCCAGGGCAUAGCUUAGGCAUUUUCCAAGCCCUUCAAGCUCCCCCUUGAAACUGAAUUAUUAUGCUGUGUGAGUAAUGUUCGUUGGAUAAAAUGGGUGGAGAGCACUGCAGCCUAUAAGUACAUAAGGGGAGUGCAUCAGUAUCUGGGAGAACAGUUGUUCACCAGAGCUCCCUGAGGAAUAACGAGGUCCAACAGCCGCAAACUCCUAGAAGGCCAGUUCAGAUUGAACAUAAGGAAAAACUUCUUCACAGUCCUAGUGUCCAGGGUCAGGAACAGACUCCCCCUGGAGGUGGAGCAAGCACCUACUCUGGACUCAUUCAAAAGGCAACUGGAUGUUUAUCUCACUGGGAUCCCCGCAGACUUCCUGCCAGUGGCAGAGGGGCUGGACUCGAUGAUCUCGCAAGGUCCCUUCCAGCCCCUAAUGUCUAUGAAAUCUAAGUUUCUGCCUCAUUGGAAGCAAGGGCCUAAAUUAGCACUGAGGACCUCCUCCCAUCAAAGCUUCAUCCAUCUCAUUGAGGCAUAAACCCUCUGACUUGCUCAAGGGGUAGGGAUCAACUUCAAGAGGAGGGCUGGGUAAUGCCUAGCCUGUGUCCUGAUUGUUAAAAUGUUUUGCUGAGAAUGAGAAGAUACAGCUUUAAACCCCUCUAAUUGCUUGGAUCCUAGAAACUAGGUCCCCUGUUCCCAGGACAAGUCCCCCCUAACCAGUAAGCUGUUGGGCUAAAACAUGGGAGGGCCCUUCUCUCCCACACCACGUGCAAGGUGAAAUGGAUUCCCAAAAUCCAUCUAAGUGCCAAAGCCUGAAGUGAGAUGGCUGUGCAUGUACCAUUCAGGUACACAAAGUGAGAUAGGAUGCUGCCUUGUAUAUUUGUAGGAUAAAGGUUGAAUGUCUAUUUGAGCUAGUAAAGAAUGCGCAAUUGCAUGAAUAUAAACUGACAAUCUGUAUCAAGUAUACGAUAAUAUUUUGUAAAAUGUUUUAUUAAGAAUAUAGGCCAUGACCUAUUACACUAAUAUUAAAGUUAAGCGUCUUGUCAUCAUA